Molecule: ribosomal RNA, 164 nt
Filed under: Macroclinium sp. Dressler 6349
Lineage: Eukaryota; Viridiplantae; Streptophyta; Magnoliopsida; Asparagales; Orchidaceae
Also listed under: 4 other names
Description: 5.8S ribosomal RNA
Rfam family: 5.8S ribosomal RNA
About the family: 5.8S ribosomal RNA (5.8S rRNA) is a component of the large subunit of the eukaryotic ribosome. It is transcribed by RNA polymerase I as part of the 45S precursor that also contains 18S and 28S rRNA.
Source: RNAcentral
GACACGACUCUCGACAAUGGAUAUCUUGGCUCUUGCAUCGAUGAAGAGCGCAGCGAAAUGCGAUACGUGGUGCGAAUUGCAGAAUCCCGUGAACCAUCGAGUCUUUGAACGCAAGUUGCGCCCGAGGCCAGCCGGCCAAGGGCACGUUCGCCUGGGCGUCAAGC